RNAcentral lists this ribosomal RNA (52 nucleotides) under Cladosporium cladosporioides. RNAcentral's name for it is "partial 18S ribosomal RNA". The record is from RNAcentral. Lineage: Eukaryota; Fungi; Ascomycota; Dothideomycetes; Cladosporiales; Cladosporiaceae.
CCCGGUCAUUUAGAGGAAGUAAAAGUCGUAACAAGGUCUCCGUAGGUGAACC